This 305-nucleotide ribosomal RNA is filed under the name uncultured bacterium. RNAcentral describes it as "bacterial SSU rRNA". It matches the Rfam family "Bacterial small subunit ribosomal RNA", at positions 333 to 630 of the family's 1533-position model. The record is from RNAcentral.
UGGCUCCUACGGGGGGCAGCAGUAGGGAAUCUUCCACAAUGGACGAAAGCCUGAUGGAGCAACGCCGCGUGAGUGAAGAAGGGUUUCGGCUCGUAAAGCUCUGUUGGGAGUGAAGAAAGAUAGACGUAGUAACCGGCCUUUAUUUGACGGUAAUUACUUAGAAAGUCACGGCUAACUACGUGCCAGCAGCCGCGGUAAUACGUAGGUGGCAAGCGUUGUCCGGAUUUAUUGGGCGUAAAGCGAGUGCAGGCGGGUCAACAAGUCUGAUGUGAAAGCCCUCGGCUCAACCGCGGAACUGCAUCUGA